GACGAACGCUGGCGGCGUGCCUAAUACAUGCAAGUCGAACGAAGCUGUUUUAACUGGUGCUUGCACCGACUUAAACAACUGAGUGGCGAACGGGUGAGUAACACGUGGGUAACCUGCCCCAAAGCGGGGGAUAACAUUUGGAAACAGAUGCUAAUACCGCAUAACCACAGAAACCACAUGGUUUCUGUGUCAAAGAUGGUUUCGGCAAUCACUUUGGGAUGGACCCGCGGCGUAUUAGCUAGUUGGUAAGGUAAUGGCUUACCAAGGCAAUGAUACGUAGCCGAACUGAGAGGUUGAUCGGCCAUAUUGGGACUGAGACACGGCCCAAACUCCUACGGGAGGCAGCAGUAGGGAAUCUUCCACAAUGGACGAAAGUCUGAUGGAGCAACGCCGCGUGAGUGAAGAAGGUUUUCGGAUCGUAAAACUCUGUUGUCAGAGAAGAACGUGUGCGAGAGUAACUGUUCGUGCAGUGACGGUAUCUGGCCAGAAAGCCACGGCUAACUACGUGCCAGCCGCCGCGGUAA
This 524-nucleotide ribosomal RNA is filed under the name uncultured bacterium. Its description in RNAcentral is "partial 16S ribosomal RNA". It matches the Rfam family "Bacterial small subunit ribosomal RNA", at positions 28 to 523 of the family's 1533-position model. The record is from RNAcentral.